UGCGGAAGGAUCAUUAUUGAAUACGUUGGUACUGUUGCUGGCUCUUCACUGAGCAUGUGCACGUCCAUCUAUUUAUCUUCUCUUGUGCACCUUUUGUAGUCUUUUUCUGAAAAAGAGCGAGCAGAGGGCAUUUAUCCGCCGGUGGCUGCCCCUGGAGUUUAGUAACUUGUUACUUGGCCAGGGGUUUGGGGCUUGAUCCCAGAAACCACCGGAGGGCAAUCUGCUUUUGCUCUUUUCCAGAGGGGCUACGUUUUCAUAUACACUAUUAAAGUUACAGAAUGUCUUUUAAAGACUGUGCUAGCCGCAGUCAUUAAACCUAUACAACUUUCAGCAACGGAUCUCUUGGCUCUCCCAUCGAUGAAGAACGCAGCGAAAUGCGAUAAGUAAUGUGAAUUGCAGAAUUCAGUGAAUCAUCGAAUCUUUGAACGCACCUUGCGCCCUUUGGUAUUCCGAAGGGCAUGCCUGUUUGAGUGUCAUUAAAUUAUCAACCUUUUUGCUUUGCUUGCGAAGUAUCUAGGCUUGGAUGUGGGGGUUUUUGCUGGCUUCCUUCAGUGGAUGGUCUGCUCCCCUUAAAUGCAUUAGCGGGAUCUCUUGUGGACCGUCACUUGGUGUGAUAAUUAUCUAUACCACUUGGCCUUGAAGCAAAUCUUAUGAGGACCCGCUCAUAACCGUCCCUCUGGGACAACUCUUGACAUUUUGACCUCAAAUCANGUAGGACUACCCGCUGAACUUAAGCAUAUCAAUAAGCGGAGGAAAAGAAACUAACAAGGAUUCCCCUAGUAACUGCGAGUGAAGCGGGAAAAGCUCAAAUUUAAAAUCUGGCGGUUCUGUGGCCGUCCGAGUUGUAAUUUAGAGAAGUGUUAUCCGCGCUGGAC
Molecule: ribosomal RNA, 875 nt
Filed under: Mycena epipterygia
Lineage: Eukaryota; Fungi; Basidiomycota; Agaricomycetes; Agaricales; Mycenaceae
Description: eukaryotic LSU rRNA
Rfam family: 5.8S ribosomal RNA (bases 323-476)
Source: RNAcentral